AACGAACGCUAGCGACGCGUUUUAAGCAUGCAAGUCGAACGGCAAGAGGUACUUGUACCUCCUAGAGUGGCGAACGGGUGAGUAACGCGUGGGUGAUCUACCGCUUAGAUGAGGAUAGCUUUCAGAAAUGGAAGGUAAUACUGAAUAAGCUCAUAGUAUAUGUAUUGUGAGGAAAGGUGCAAUUGUGCCGCUAAGUGAUGAGCCUGCGUAAUAUUAGCUAGUUGGUGGGGUAAAGGCCUACCAAGGCGAUGAUAUUUAGCCGGCCUGAGAGGGUGUCCGGCCACAUUGGGACUGAGAUACGGCCCAGACUCCUACGGGAGGCAGCAGCUAAGAAUCUUCCGCAAUGGGCGCAAGCCUGACGGAGCGACGUCGCGUGGACGAAGAAGGCCGAGAGGUUGUAAAGUCCUUUUACAUAUGAGGAAUAAGAUAGGGAGUGGAACGCCCUGUUGAUGACGUUAGUAUGUGAAUAAGCUCCGGCUAAUUACGUGCCAGCAGCCGCGGUAAUACGUAAGGAGCGAGCGUUGUUCGGAAUUAUUGGGCGUAAAGCGCGCGUAGGCGGCCAUAAAAGUCUGUAAUUAAAGAGCUCGGCUUAACUGAGUAAAAAUUAUGGAAACUGUAUAGCUAGAAUCCUUUAGGGGAAGCUGGAAUUCUUGGUGGAGAGGUGGAAUUUGUUGAUAUCAAGAGGAACACCAAAGGCGAAGGCAGGCUUCUGGNAANAGAUUGACGCUGAGGCGCGAAAGUGUGG
This 745-nucleotide ribosomal RNA is filed under the name uncultured bacterium. RNAcentral describes it as "bacterial SSU rRNA". It matches the Rfam family "Bacterial small subunit ribosomal RNA", at positions 28 to 764 of the family's 1533-position model. The record is from RNAcentral.